This is a long non-coding RNA of Glossina fuscipes, 337 nucleotides long. RefSeq lists it as uncharacterized. The transcript has 3 exons. The record is from RefSeq and is a predicted model, not a curated record. NCBI's taxonomy places the organism in Eukaryota, Metazoa, Arthropoda, Insecta, Diptera, Glossinidae.
GGAAUAGCGUCUACGUAGGCCAAAGUGAGUGACAUUAUGUAUGUGAAUGCGAAAACCUGUUCAAAAAGAAAAAUUUAUUUUUCUUUGUUUGGUUGACCGCUAUGACUGUGUUGUAAGAUGUAGUACAACAUCUGCUGACUAACAGAUUAAACAGACAUUAAAAUUAUAAAAAUGUCCCUACGCUGAAAGAGAGGAGUACAUAAUAUUCGUCUUGCCACAGAAAUCAACGAUAGAGUCUGUAUACAGCAUAUAUAUUCGUAAUUGGCAUGGAAUUGCGAAUUUUGAUACAAAUUGGUGGAGCUAGAUACUGAUCGAAGAGAGGAGAGGAGAGUAGGUG